GAAAAUUCUAAUUUAAUUUGUUUUAUUUCUACCUGUAGUUCAGAAUUUGUAAUUUGUUUCGGUUUUAUUUUUUUCAUAUUUAUUAAAUAUUAUAUCUUGUAUAUUAUACAUUUGUGAUUGACUAGAAAUAAUUUCUUUUUCUUUUUCUUUUUCUGGUUUAUCUUUUAAUGAUGAUUUUAAUUUUAAAAGAUAUUCUCUUUUAAGUUUUGGGUCUUGAAUUUUAUCAAUAAUUUCGAUCAUAAAUUUUUGUCUCUAGCUAACAUAUUAAUUGAGAGUUCAUUUUCAUCAUCAGAAGACUGAGAUGUUGUAUGUAAUUCGUCUAUUUGUAAU
This 330-nucleotide long non-coding RNA is filed under the name Gossypium raimondii (Peruvian cotton). RNAcentral describes it as "long non-coding RNA (GRAI_LNC002014)". The record is from RNAcentral. Lineage: Eukaryota; Viridiplantae; Streptophyta; Magnoliopsida; Malvales; Malvaceae.